Non-coding RNA from Triticum aestivum (bread wheat), 135 nucleotides. The record is from Rfam. NCBI's taxonomy places the organism in Eukaryota, Viridiplantae, Streptophyta, Magnoliopsida, Poales, Poaceae.
UAUGUACAUCCUCCGUCCGGAAAUACUUGUCACCAAAAUGGAUAAAAGGGGAUGUAUCUAGAUGUAUUUUAGUUCUACAUACAUCUCUUUUUAUCCAUUUUGGUGACAAGUAUUUUCGGACGGAGGGAGUAUGAA